GACAGAGGAUGCAAGCGUUAUCCGGAAUGAUUGGGCGUAAAGCGUCUGUAGGUGGCUUUUCAAGUUCGCCGUCAAAUCCCAGGGCUCAACCCUGGACAGGCGGUGGAAACUACCAAGCUGGAGUAUGGUAGGGGCAGAGGGAAUUUCCGGUGGAGCGGUGAAAUGCAUUGAGAUCGGAAAGAACACCAACGGCGAAAGCACUCUGCUGGGUCGACACUGACACUGAGAGACGAAAGCUAGGGGAGCAAAUGGG
This 253-nucleotide ribosomal RNA is filed under the name uncultured bacterium. RNAcentral's name for it is "partial 16S ribosomal RNA". It matches the Rfam family "Bacterial small subunit ribosomal RNA", at positions 524 to 776 of the family's 1533-position model. The record is from RNAcentral.